UACAACUUACAACAAUUCUCAUCUUCUAUAUAAAUGUUCUUCAACUUUCUCUAAACACAAAAUACGCAUCUCAAAACCUCUUCUAUUUUGUUACCAAAAAAAAAAAAAAAAACCUCUUCUAAUUUCAAUUACCAAUGCACCACCAGAUCAAACACGAAAACCUCUUUCAACUUCAGAAAGCUAAAUCCCUUUGAAAACAACAAUUAUCUUUGGAGCUUUGAAAACAAGAAUGGAAUAUCAGAGCUUUAAAAGCCUCUAUUUGCUUCCGAUUCUAAACGGUGAAAUUCAAAAGUCUGGAUCUACAUAGUCCAACUAUAACGAAAGGGGCUAGGCCGUGAUCAAAGAAAUCCAAGCUUACGUUUGUGUACAAGCCAGGAGAGUGUUUUCAAGAUAACAAGGAAUGUGCUUUACAUCAGGAAAUUUGGUAAAAAUUCAGUUACAAGAGCACCACUGAAAGGAAAGAUUUGAUUCCUCUCAUCUUUCACAUGUACUCUGAAGGAGAGUAUCCCUGUCCUGUUCUGCAACAAAAGUCUUCACUAAAUUUACACAUAUAGUUGCUGUGAAGGCUACCGGAAAUGUGUUAUGCUACGAGUUUUUGCAGAGUGGAGUAAACGAAUGACAUUGAAACCAACUAGAGUCUUAGCUUUCAUUUAUAAAGCCAAAGAAAUUCUUCAAGUUGAUUGUUGUAAUUUAUAAGUGUUUGUGGUAUAACAUAAAAACUCAUUCCUUUAAGUUUUUCUUUUUUGUUCGGAUUUUCUAAUAAACUCUCCUUUGCAGAAGUUAAGUUCUCAUUAACCAAUCUAGGUUGUAGCAAAUUCAAGAGUAAAAAAGCAUGCCUAAUUUAACAAGGUUUGUUUUUACGAAUAAAUUUAAACAGAUUUCAUUUCA
Molecule: long non-coding RNA, 888 nt
Organism: Camelina sativa (false flax)
Lineage: Eukaryota; Viridiplantae; Streptophyta; Magnoliopsida; Brassicales; Brassicaceae
Source: RefSeq, a predicted model, not a curated record